Lepisosteus oculatus (spotted gar) is the source of this 119-nucleotide ribosomal RNA. The record is from Ensembl. NCBI's taxonomy places the organism in Eukaryota, Metazoa, Chordata, Actinopteri, Semionotiformes, Lepisosteidae.
UUUAGCAGCCAUAUCACCCUGCAACUCACAACUGGCAACCCACUGAAGCUAAGCAGGGGUGAGCCUGGUCAGUACCUGGAUGUGAGAUCUCCUGGGAAAAACUAAGGUUGCUGCUGGAA